RNAcentral lists this ribosomal RNA (497 nucleotides) under uncultured bacterium. Its description in RNAcentral is "partial 16S ribosomal RNA". It matches the Rfam family "Bacterial small subunit ribosomal RNA", at positions 28 to 507 of the family's 1533-position model. The record is from RNAcentral.
GAUGAACGCUGGCGGCGUGCCUAAUACAUCCAAGUCGAGCGAACGGACGAGAAGCUUGCUUCUCUGAUGUUAGCGGCGGACGGGUGAGUAACACGUGGAUAACCUACCUAUAAGACUGGGAUAACUUCGGGAAACCGGAGCUAAUACCGGAUAAUAUUUUGAACCGCAUGGUUCAAAAGUGAAAGACGGUCUUGCUGUCACUUAUAGAUGGAUCCGCGCUGCAUUAGCUAGUUGGUAAGGUAACGGCUUACCAAGGCAACGAUGCAUAGCCGACCUGAGAGGGUGAUCGGCCACACUGGAACUGAGACACGGUCCAGACUCCUACGGGAGGCAGCAGUAGGGAAUCUUCCGCAAUGGGCGAAAGCCUGACGGAGCAACGCCGCGUGAGUGAUGAAGGUCUUCGGAUCGUAAAACUCUGUUAUUAGGGAAGAACAUAUGUGUAAGUAACUGUGCACAUCUUGACGGUACCUAAUCAGAAAGCCACGGCUAACUACGUG